GCACAAGCGGUGGAUGAUGUGGUUUAAUUCGAUGCAACGCGAAAACCUUACCCACCUUUGACAUGUACAGAAUCCUUUAGAGAUAGAGGAGUGCUCGAAAGAGAGCCGUAACACAGGUGCUGCAUGGCUGUCGUCAGCUCGUGUCGUGAGAUGUUGGGUUAAGUCCCGCAACGAGCGCAACCCUUGUCAUUAGUUGCUACAUUCAGUUGGGCACUCUAAUGAGACUGCCGGUGACAAACCGGAGGAAGGUGGGGAUGACGUCAAGUCCUCAUGGCCCUUAUAGGUGGGGCUACACACGUCAUACAAUGGAUGGUACAAAGGGUCGCCAACCCGCGAGGGGGAGCCAAUCCCAUAAAGCCAUUCGUAGUCCGGAUCGCAGUCUGCAACUCGACUGCGUGAAGUCGGAAUCGCUAGUAAUCGUGGAUCAGAAUGUCACGGUGAAUACGUUCCCGGGUCUU
RNAcentral lists this ribosomal RNA (458 nucleotides) under uncultured Acidovorax sp. Its description in RNAcentral is "bacterial SSU rRNA". It matches the Rfam family "Bacterial small subunit ribosomal RNA", at positions 923 to 1382 of the family's 1533-position model. The record is from RNAcentral. Lineage: Bacteria; Pseudomonadati; Pseudomonadota; Betaproteobacteria; Burkholderiales; Comamonadaceae.